This 1499-nucleotide long non-coding RNA is filed under the name Mytilus galloprovincialis (Mediterranean mussel). Lineage: Eukaryota; Metazoa; Mollusca; Bivalvia; Mytilida; Mytilidae. The record is from RNAcentral.
UAAUAAUACACGUAUGUACAUUUGUAAAUGUUGAGCUGAUAAGUAAAAUACCCAAAAAUCUGAGAAAACUCAAAACGAAAAAUUCCAUAAUCAAAAGAAAAAACACAUUAAUGAGUUAGUAUGAAUAUUUAAAAAGAGGUGAAAUAUACUAGAUGGAUUUUUAAUUCGUAAGUCGAAAAUAGACUGAUUCCAUUCUCAAUUUUAUGAUAACGCCUUGGCUAUACAGUUUUUGGUUGGAAUAGUUUUCCUUGGGUUCAGUUGACGGAUUAUUUGAGAAUUACCGACAAUAUUCUUUGAGUUUACAGUUUUUGGUUGGGCUAGUUUUACUUGCUUUCAGUUGACGGAUUAUUGCGAGUUAACGACAAUAUUCUUUUCUAUUGUUGAAAUAGAUAAGUUCAGGAGAAACAGACGUGUAGAAAUUUAAAAAGAUUCCUUAAAUAGACACAACAAUGGUACUUUAAUUAUUGAGGAAUUUGUCAGUGUAAUCAGAUUCACAUUCCAACCUGAAUAAAACAUAAUUUCGAAUUUAACAACGCCUAAUAAUUGUAAUAUAUCUUGAACAAAAGCGUUAAAACUAACACUGUGAAACAUAAAGAUUAAAUGCCAACUAUGUUUUAGGCGGCGUGUUCAAUUUUUAAAUGUUUAAUUUGAUUUCAGGUUAUUUGUCAAAGUCACAAUGCACAUUAAGCUGAUUUUUCUACUGACGAUGAAAUAGUACCUGUCAUGCUAGAUGCAGUGAUUCCGAAGUCAUCAAGUUUUAAAUAUAGGGGUAUGUAUACACUAAAAAAAAAUGUUUCUAUUUGGUUCUGUUUCAUUUUAUUUCAAAUUUAUUAUGGUAAAAUCGAUGCUGUCGUUUUAAUGUAACAAUCUAUUGCAUCUAUCCUUUAUCAUGUUUAUGUUUUAAUUGUGUUAUUACGAUAAUUUUUAUCCCUGUGUCUGCCUUAAAUGUGAACGUCUUCAAAUGUAAAAUAUGCAUCACACAUACGUUAUUAUGUAAAGGGUAUUUACCUUGAAGCCACUUCUUGUAGCCUGUUAGUAUAUAAACAAAAAUAAUAAUUAAUUUAUCAUUCAUUUCUAAUUCAAGUCAGCAUCAUUAAAGUGACAUUAUUGUCACCAAAAUGGAAUUCUUAAAUAGAUUUUCAGAUGAACAAAGAUUGAAAAAGUAAAAAGAGAAGAAAUAAAGCCAAAAUUAUCAAGAUCUUGUUUUUUUCUUUUGCAGAUCCGAAAGUUUGGAUUGAUGCCGUUUAUUCGCCAAGCAAACGACACUGGAUUUGGUCUCACGAUUCAUCGUUAGUUAAUUACCGUUAUUUUACUCAGUUAGCACACAGUCCUGGUACAACGGAAAGAUGUGUGUUUGCUAUUGUUAAUACUGGUAUUCAUCCUUGGGCUCACGAAUUUGACGUCAAUUGUGAAAAUAGUUACCUUCCUCUAUGUGAAACGAGUCCAAUCUAAUCAUGGAUUCUCAACAUUCUUACAUUAAAAUGUUAUCUAUUCAAUUG